GAGACCCGUAUCCACAGUUGCUAACGUGUCCGAAAGGAUGAGCGAGCACACUGUGGAGACUGCCUCUGUAAAGAGGAGGAAGGUGCGGGCUACGGUAAGUCUGUACGGCCCGGAUAUCUUGGGCUACACGCGCGCAACAAUGACAGCUACAAUGGGAUGCAACUCCGAAAGGAGGAGCUAAACCUCGAAAGGCUGCCUUAGUUCGGAUUGAGGAUUGCAACUCAUCCUCAUGACGUCGGAAUCCGUAGUAAUCAGGCAUUAGCAUUGCCCGGUGAAUAC
This 279-nucleotide ribosomal RNA is filed under the name uncultured archaeon. RNAcentral's name for it is "partial 16S rRNA". It matches the Rfam family "Archaeal small subunit ribosomal RNA", at positions 1047 to 1325 of the family's 1478-position model. The record is from RNAcentral.